UAGCGUAUUGGUAGCUGGAAGCCAAGGGCGGUAGCGUG
RNAcentral lists this non-coding RNA (38 nucleotides) under unclassified sequences. RNAcentral's name for it is "JUMPstart RNA". It matches the Rfam family "JUMPstart RNA". The record is from RNAcentral.